CCUGGCGGCCGUAGCGCGGUGGUCCCACCUGACCCCAUGCCGAACUCAGAAGUGAAACGCCGCAGCGCCGAUGGUAGUAUGGGGUCUCCCCAUGCGAGAGUAGGGAACUGCCAGGC
Molecule: ribosomal RNA, 116 nt
Filed under: Salmonella enterica
Lineage: Bacteria; Pseudomonadati; Pseudomonadota; Gammaproteobacteria; Enterobacterales; Enterobacteriaceae
Source: RNAcentral